Molecule: ribosomal RNA, 467 nt
Filed under: uncultured bacterium
Lineage: Bacteria
Description: partial 16S ribosomal RNA
Rfam family: Bacterial small subunit ribosomal RNA
Source: RNAcentral
ACGAACGCUGGCGGCGUGCUUAACACAUGCAAGUCGAACGGAAAGGCCCUGCUUUUGUGGGGUGCUCGAGUGGCGAACGGGUGAGUAACACGUGAGUAACCUGCCCUUGACUUUGGGAUAACUUCAAGAAACUGGGGCUAAUACCGGAUAGGAGCUCCUGCUGCAUGGUGGGGGUUGGAAAGUUUCGGCGGUUGGGGAUGGACUCGCGGCUUAUCAGCUUGUUGGUGGGGUAGUGGCUUACCAAGGCUUUGACGGGUAGCCGGCCUGAGAGGGUGACCGGCCACAUUGGGACUGAGAUACGGCCCAGACUCCUACGGGAGGCAGCAGUGGGGAAUAUUGCACAAUGGGCGGAAGCCUGAUGCAGCAACGCCGCGUGCGGGAUGACGGCCUUCGGGUUGUAAACCACUUUCGCCUGUGACGAAGCGUGAGUGACGGUAAUGGGUAAAGAAGCACCGGCUAACUACGUG